Molecule: small RNA, 128 nt
Filed under: Marmota monax (woodchuck)
Lineage: Eukaryota; Metazoa; Chordata; Mammalia; Rodentia; Sciuridae
Source: RNAcentral
GCUGGGUAUGGUGGUGCAUGCCUGUAAUCCCAGUGACUUGGGAGGCUGAGGCAGGAGUAUGACAAAUUUAAGGCCAGCUUCAGCAACAUAGUGAAGUCCUAGGCAACAUAGUGACACCCCUGUCUCAA